This 460-nucleotide unclassified non-coding RNA is filed under the name Hevea brasiliensis (rubber tree). The record is from RNAcentral. Lineage: Eukaryota; Viridiplantae; Streptophyta; Magnoliopsida; Malpighiales; Euphorbiaceae.
AGUUGAGUUGAGUAUUAAAGUUAUUUUUGUCCAUUCAUAAGUUAACUCUCUAAUUUGUUCUUAUAUACAUAUAUAUAUAUAUUGUUAGAAGUGGUGAAAUACAAAAUUAGAUUACUCAUGGAGAAGCCUUUAUUUCUCAGUGAGAAAUGAAUUCUUAACUGAUAAAAUGCCAUUGUUCAUUGAGAAAUUAAUGCAGCAUUACAUUGAGUUACUGAAUCAUAAAAUUUUGUUGCUAAAUGUGACUGUGUAUCUCAUUAUAGUUAGUACUUGAAAUUGAAUAACCAUCUAGAAACUUGUUGGCCAUUGAAAUGCUUAAAUUUAUUUUGCUUUUCUUUGUUUGUUUUGAGUUGCAUUACUGAAGGCUGGAAUUAACAGCCAUUAACAGUUUUAGGCAUUUAUAAUAAUUAAAUGUUUUCAAAUUUAUCAUGCUUUGUUAGGCGUUUAUCCAAGCUUGAAAUGU